RNAcentral lists this transfer RNA (74 nucleotides) under Thecadactylus sp. TG-2012. Its description in RNAcentral is "tRNA-Asn". The record is from RNAcentral. Lineage: Eukaryota; Metazoa; Chordata; Lepidosauria; Squamata; Phyllodactylidae.
UAGGUUGAAGCCCGCUGGCUUGGGUUUUUAGUUGUUAAUUAAAGUUUCGUAGGGUCGAAGCCUACCAAUCUAGG